Molecule: ribosomal RNA, 104 nt
Filed under: uncultured bacterium
Lineage: Bacteria
Description: partial 16S ribosomal RNA
Rfam family: Bacterial small subunit ribosomal RNA
Source: RNAcentral
CCUUGUACACACCGCCCGUCACACCAUGGGAGUUGGCUGCACCAGAAGCCGGUAGUCUAACCGCAAGGGGGACGCUUACCACGGUAGGUUUCAUGACUGGGGUG